Macadamia integrifolia is the source of this 336-nucleotide long non-coding RNA. RefSeq lists it as uncharacterized. The record is from RefSeq and is a predicted model, not a curated record. Lineage: Eukaryota; Viridiplantae; Streptophyta; Magnoliopsida; Proteales; Proteaceae. The transcript is spliced from 3 exons.
AAGAAGGAGAGAGAAGGGAAGAAGGAAGAAGGAAGAAAUGGGGGAGAAAAUGCUCGUUGUGCGUCGCCAAGGUUUAAUCUUUCAAUUUCGAUGCCGGAUUAAUGAUCCUCAUCUCGAGAUCUACUAUUUUAGGUUAUACUAGAAACUCGCGUUAUCGCAUGUCGGAUAUUCCUCAUACCAAGGGUGAUCUUCGUACACAACUAGAUGAUCUUACAAGUUAUCUGACCGAAGAACUAGAGCCGGGACCCACUGUGGAAUUUUCAGUCAAGGAGUGGUGGGUCCCUGAAAAUCUUGGGCAUGGGGCCGAGUGCUCGUGCAAUAGAUGUGUUACAGGUC